This is a long non-coding RNA of Mirounga angustirostris (Northern elephant seal), 1212 nucleotides long. RefSeq lists it as uncharacterized. The transcript has 3 exons. NCBI's taxonomy places the organism in Eukaryota, Metazoa, Chordata, Mammalia, Carnivora, Phocidae. The record is from RefSeq and is a predicted model, not a curated record.
AGAGGUGUUUAUUUCAAAACAAUAACAAGAACAUUGGCUUCAGCAGGCCACGUGACCUUGAGCCACCUCUCCCCGACUGCCGGGCUGGCACAGUGAGCCCCCAGCUGCGGGAGGGAGAUGCCCUUGGAAGCCAGGCACUGCACCUGCGUGAGCUCAUCCUGCUGGGGUGAGCUGGGAGCUCCCCAACAGCCCGGCUCUACUGCUUCCUCCAGCAGAGGAGAAAGAAGAGUGGGAGGGCUAUGUGACUCGGCAUAUGGGACAGGCCCCUGGGAGAGCAGGGAGCGGAGACCACACAGCCUCCCCGCUCAGGGCUCCGCCCGCCACCGUGGGUCUCCCAUUCUAAGAGCCUGCUGCCAUGCUGUCCUUGGGGGAGCUCCAUCUUCCAGUUUCCCAGCCCUAUCACCAGGCCCAUGGCUGCUGGGAAUUCGGAAGCUUCUUCUGGGAGAAGGCUGGGGCAGGUGGUGUGGGUGGCCAGCCAGCCAGAGCUGGUCACCGUCCCCUGCUGUCCCCACUGUGCCUCUGUCCUGCGAUGCCCCAGUCCUCCCACAGGCGUGCCUGGGACACACUUGGCUUCUCCUUCCUCACUCCGGACACCGGCCUCUCCGGACCUCCUUCUCCAGGCUCCUCGCUGGGUCCUGGGCCUCCGCUCUGGCCUUCAACACCGGCCCCUGUUGCUCCAGCUGAAUCUGGUCGUCUUCUCCAUCUUGGAGGAGAUCCAGGUUCGUGCCCAGAUUGCAAGAAUUUGAGAAUUCUCACAGCUUUCUCCAGGAGGAGGUCACCGAGAGGAAGUGUCCGCCGGUUGACUCUCCAGGUGGCUGUGGGCGAUGGGAGGCUCCUGACCCCUCCUGUGCCCUUGGAAUGUACACUCUGCCCGCUGUUCCCACAGUGGGAGCUGUUCUUAAAGACACAGGCUUGAGGGGCGCCUGGGUGGCUCAGUAGGUUGAGCGUCUGCCUUCGGCUCAGGUCAUGACCUCAGGGUCCUGGGAUCGAGUCCCACAUGGGGCUCCCUCCUCAGCAGGGAGCCUGCUUCUCCCUCUCCCCCUGCUGCUCCCCCUGCUUGUGUGCACGCUCCACUCUCUCCCCUUCUCUCUCUCUGACAAAUAAAUAAAUAAAAUCUUAAAAAAAAAAAAAAAGACACAGCCUCGAGAGAGUAAGAUCCUCAGGCUCACGCCGCCUCCUUGCCACUCCACACCCUGGCCCCUCGGCUCCCUG